GUUGGCAAGAGGAAGUUAUAAAAAUAAAAGUCUUCUCUCUUCAAAACUAGAAAAAGAAAAGUACUUUCAGGAGAAGGAAAAACCUUUUCCCCUUUUAAAAUUUGGAAGGCAGAAAAUACAGAGAGGAUAGUGGGUAAAAACAAGCGAAAAUGUGGGAACCGAAUUAAAAUAUUCCUGACUUCUGGCACUCACCCAGAGUAAAUGAACAGUGUGCAUGCACUCUGAAAAGCUAGAAAAUGCCAUAUAUAUAUUUAUAUUUGAUGUGAUGGGUGCAGAGUGGUGGUUGCUCCCAGCCAGGUCAUUUCAAUAACAACAGGAGACCACAGUUCCUGCUGAAUGGCAUCUUUCAGGCUGAAGAGCUUCCGCCGUCUCUCCACUUCCAUACUGAUUAGAAGUGCUUGAGAUACAUCAUAACAGUGUCAGUGCAGUGUUUAUGGGGGAAAUUGUCGCUGUCUCUUGCUUGUGGAAGGUGACAUAAUGGGAUUUCUUCCCUUUGUCCUGGUGACAGGAUGAUGAGCACUGUGUAGGCUCCAGUUCCGCAUGCUUUGCCAUUCAGGCAUCCGGCGCAGCUGACAAGCCCGAGGAUCCAUGGAGAAGAAUCAGCAUUUCAAGCACCCAAAAUGUGUAGAAGAAUAUGGACCAAAGAAAGGAGCAGAAAGACAAAUAGAGGAAUGGAGAAUUUUGCCUGCGACUAUGAUGUUCUCAAGGUUAGCCGACCGUGCUCUAAAAUCCACCAAGAUUCCCAUUUUGGGAGUUGCUAUGUGACCAAGGUCUGCCCCUGUGGUAUGGGGACCACUUGCUCAUGCAGUUACAGUUCUUGCCUAACAGGAGCCCAUCAUGGUAAGAAAAAGACUCAAGUUGGUUCAUUUUUUUUUUAAGGUUGCAAGGAAAUCAAGUCCUUAACCAUGCUUACUCUCACAUUUAUUGAAACAGGCCGAUCUCAGAACUAAAUGAUAAGAAUGAAAAUUAACCAGGACUCCCAUGGGCCUCACAUAUGGCAGUUUUGAAUCUGUUCUUUUUUUCACUAUCAUAAUUGUUUUUUUUAAACUCAUUUUCUCUGGUUGAAUACACAACUGUAAAAAAAGUGGGGGUAGUGGUGGUGAUGGAAAUGAAUGAAGCCAUGGAAACAGUGAGACAUCUACAGAGACAAAAUUAGGAAAGAAGGAAACAAAAGCCAUUCCCGUAUCUCUGUGCAAGGCCUGCGGACCUUUCCUUGCCAAUACCCCUGGAUCACGCUCGUCUCAUGAGGUAGCAGGUGUUUCCUUGACUCACACAGAAAACAAGCCCUUGGGCUUCUUGUGCUGUUAGGGCGAGUUACAUUCAGCAUGUGAACAGUGAGCCCUGCUCUGUCUGUCCAUCCUUCCCAGAAGAGACACAGAUGAUCAAGUAGUUGAGAAAACAGUUCAAGAGGAGGCUUGGUGUCUUUUCUUAAUUUGAGGGAACUUAAAAUAAAAAUGCUUCUUGACAUUAUAAAUAGAAUUCAAUGGAUCAUGAGGUCAAGAGAUCGAGACCAUCCUGGUCAACAAGGUGAAACCCCGUCUCUACUAAAAAUACAAAAAUUAGCUGGGCAUGGUGGCGCGUGCCUGUAGUCCCAGCUACUCGGGAGGCUGAGGCAGGAGAAUUGCUUGAACCCAGGAGGCGGAGGUUGUGGUGAGCCGAGAUCGUGCCAUUGCACUCCAGUCAGGAUAACAACAGUGAAACUCCGUCUCAAAAAAAAAAAAAAAGAAAAAGAAAAAGAAAAAGCUGAGAAUUCUUGUGAAAUAGUCAAAUAGGAAUAGAAAGCAAGCAACCAGAUAGAAUAUCGUGCCCAGAACAUGAUUUACUUUGCUAGAACGUUACCACUUUAACACACAGAAACCUUUUCACACUAGUUAACAAAUAGCAUUAAGCAUGAUUCAAGUCAAGACUUUAAAAACUUGGCUGAUGCCUCUCAUUAAGAAUUGAAAACUGCGUAAGACUCUUGCUCCAGGAAACUGCGUUCUGACAUUUUAAUAAUAUUGCCUUAGCAAGAGCAGAAAAUCCAUGAACUUAGAUUCACAGAAAGUAAAUCAAGAAUCCAUCCAAAAUGGAGUGCCUUUUGCUGAGUGAUGGGAUAGCUUUCAUGUGAGAUGUCAGUGCAGCUUCUAUACUUGACAUAAGAGUUCCCAUUAAAAAAAAAAAAAAGAACUACUGCUCAAUUUUUUAAAAAUCAAGCAGAGUUAUCUAAAGUGCUUUUUAGAAGAGACUAUUAGGAAAGGAAUGGAAAGUAGUCAUUAUGACUAAUCUGCUUUAGGAGUUGGGGUAACCAGUAUCACUGGAGGGACUUUCAGAGCCACAGGGACCUUUUAGGCAACUCAGAUUCCUUCAAUUGUUUGCAGUGGUCCUCGCGAGGGGACGUAAUGAGCUGAUGUGCACCAGAACAGGUAGAAGGCACUGCCAGCUGGUAGUUUACUAGUGUACAGGAAGGCUGCUUUUCUAAUACACAAUUCUUUGUUGUGUUAAAGAGAAAUAAAUAUAUAAAAGCCUGAAA
This is a non-coding RNA of Callithrix jacchus (white-tufted-ear marmoset), 2509 nucleotides long. Lineage: Eukaryota; Metazoa; Chordata; Mammalia; Primates; Cebidae. The record is from RefSeq and is a predicted model, not a curated record.